RNAcentral lists this small RNA (74 nucleotides) under Xanthomonas arboricola. RNAcentral describes it as "sRNA sX9". It matches the Rfam family "Xanthomonas sRNA sX9". The record is from RNAcentral. Lineage: Bacteria; Pseudomonadati; Pseudomonadota; Gammaproteobacteria; Lysobacterales; Lysobacteraceae.
AUGUACCACUGGUACACAGCGAUUCCUGCGCGCCGUCCGCGCCCUUCUGACGGUGCGCGCUCCGUUCUGCAGCC